AUUGCAGGCUGCAACUCGCCUGCAUGAAGUCGGAAUUGCUAGUAAUCGCAGAUCAGCAUGCUGCGGUGAAUACGUUCCUGGGCCUUGUACACACCGCCCGUCACACCAUGAGAGUCGGGAACACCCGAAGUCCGUAGCCUAACCGCAAGGGGGGCGCGGCCGAAGGUGGGUUCGAUAAUUGGGGUGAAGUCGUAACAAGGUAGC
RNAcentral lists this ribosomal RNA (204 nucleotides) under uncultured bacterium. RNAcentral describes it as "partial 16S ribosomal RNA". It matches the Rfam family "Bacterial small subunit ribosomal RNA", at positions 1297 to 1500 of the family's 1533-position model. The record is from RNAcentral.